RNAcentral lists this ribosomal RNA (703 nucleotides) under Myochama anomioides. RNAcentral describes it as "bacterial SSU rRNA". It matches the Rfam family "Eukaryotic small subunit ribosomal RNA", at positions 1172 to 1804 of the family's 1831-position model. Lineage: Eukaryota; Metazoa; Mollusca; Bivalvia; Myochamidae. The record is from RNAcentral.
AGGAGUGGAGCCUGCGGCUUAAUUUGACUCAACACGGGAAACCUCACCCGGUCCUGAACACCUGAAGGAUUGACAGAUUGAGAGCUCUUUCUCGAAAAGGUGGUUGGUGGUGCAUGGCCGUUCCUAGUCCGUGGAGCGAUUUGUCUGGUUUAUUCCGGUAACGGACGCAACUCUAGCCUGCUAACUAGUUCUCGCCUUGAGACACAGGACGAGCGUCAACUUCUUAGAGGGACAAGUGGUGUAAAAGCCACACGAGGACAAGAGCUAAAACAGGUCUGUGAUGCCCUUUGAUGUUCGGGGCCGCACGUGUGCUACACUGAAUGGUACAGCGAGCCUAGACUGUGCCUACGAGCACCCACCUCGCCCGAGAGGGUUGGGGCAAUCUGAUGAAUACCAUUCGUGAUUGGGACUGGGGCUUGGCGCCUAUGAAUUAUUCCCCACGAACGAGGAAUUCCCAGUAAUCGCUAGUCAAUAGCUAGCGUUGAUUGCGUCCCUGCCCUUUGUACACACCGCCCGUCGCUAGUACCGAUCGCUUCGGUCGACGAGCUCCUCGGAUGGGUCGCCAGUGUGAGUAGUUAGAGGCACAGUUGCACCGUUCGAGGCUUCGGCCGAGGGGCUUCUGGGCUGACGCUCCGCUGUGCUGAGCCUAGAAGUGGAGCGAAUCGUCCGGAGUAGAGGUCCUAAAAGUCGUAACAAGGUAUCC